Molecule: ribosomal RNA, 497 nt
Filed under: uncultured bacterium
Lineage: Bacteria
Description: partial 16S ribosomal RNA
Rfam family: Bacterial small subunit ribosomal RNA
Source: RNAcentral
GAUGAACGCUGGCGGCGUGCCUAAUACAUGCAAGUCGAGCGAACAGACGAGGAGCUUGCUCCUUUGGCGUUAGCGGCGGACGGGGGAGUAACAGGUAGUUAACCUACCUAUAAGACUGGGAUAACUUCGGGAAACCGGAGCAAAAAGCGGAGAAUAUUCCGAACCGCAUGGUUCGAUAGGGAAAGAUGGCUUUGCUAGCAGUUAUGGAUGGAGCUGCGCCGUAUUAGCUAGUUGGUAAGGUAGCGGCUUACGAAGGCAACGAUGCGUAGGCGACCUGGGAGGGUGGUCGGCCACACUGGAGCUGAGACGCUGUCCAGACUCCUACGGGAGGCAGCAGUAGGGAAUCUUCCGCCAUGGGCGGCGGCAUGCCGGAGCAGCGCCGCGUGAGUGAUGAAGGUCUUCGGAUCGUAGAGCUCUGUUAUUAGGGAUGAACAAGCGUGUAAGCAACUGUGCGCGUCUUGCCGGUACCUAAUCAGAAAGCCCCGGCUAACUACGUG